RNAcentral lists this ribosomal RNA (253 nucleotides) under uncultured bacterium. Its description in RNAcentral is "partial 16S ribosomal RNA". It matches the Rfam family "Bacterial small subunit ribosomal RNA", at positions 524 to 776 of the family's 1533-position model. The record is from RNAcentral.
UACGUAGGGUGCGAGCGUUGUCCGGAAUUAUUGGGCGUAAAGAGCUUGUAGGCGGUUUGUCGCGUCUGCUGUGAAAAUCCGGGGCUCAACCCCGGACUUGCAGUGGGUACGGGCAGACUAGAGUGUGGUAGGGGAGACUGGAAUUCCUGGUGUAGCGGUGAAAUGCGCAGAUAUCAGGAGGAACACCGAUGGCGAAGGCAGGUCUCUGGGCCACUACUGACGCUCAUGCACGAAAGCGUGGGGAGCAAACAGG